RNAcentral lists this long non-coding RNA (218 nucleotides) under Carica papaya (papaya). RNAcentral's name for it is "long non-coding RNA (CPAP_LNC016190)". The record is from RNAcentral. Lineage: Eukaryota; Viridiplantae; Streptophyta; Magnoliopsida; Brassicales; Caricaceae.
AACUUGAGGGUUGAGGUGUAACAUGCGGGUUGUGAUGAAAUGAUUGGGAGUAACUGAGUUGAAGGUAAAGAGAUUGGGAUUGAUGGAGAGUAUUUCGUAGUGCUUGAGGGCAAGCAGAAGAUAAGUGUGUGGGAGUUUGAUAGUGCCUAAAAAGGACAUCUUUAUCAGGCACUUUUUGGUAGUUAAACUUGAUGGUACACUAUCUAAUCUGAGUUAUU